GAUUAAAUGGCUGAAAUGUUAGGCGGUAAACUGUAAAUUUAUUUAUGAGAAUUUUCUCUUUAAUCA
RNAcentral lists this transfer RNA (66 nucleotides) under Ligyra sp. 2017. Its description in RNAcentral is "tRNA-Tyr". It matches the Rfam family "tRNA". From Rfam's summary of the family: Transfer RNA (tRNA) molecules are approximately 80 nucleotides in length. Their secondary structure includes four short double-helical elements and three loops (D, anti-codon, and T loops). Further hydrogen bonds mediate the characteristic L-shaped molecular structure. tRNAs have two regions of fundamental functional importance: the anti-codon, which is responsible for specific mRNA codon recognition, and the 3' end, to which the tRNAs corresponding amino acid is attached (by aminoacyl-tRNA synthetases). tRNAs cope with the degeneracy of the genetic code in two manners: having more than one tRNA (with a specific anti-codon) for a particular amino acid; and 'wobble' base-pairing, i.e. permitting non-standard base-pairing at the 3rd anti-codon position. Lineage: Eukaryota; Metazoa; Arthropoda; Insecta; Diptera; Bombyliidae. The record is from RNAcentral.